RNAcentral lists this ribosomal RNA (301 nucleotides) under uncultured bacterium. Its description in RNAcentral is "partial 16S ribosomal RNA". It matches the Rfam family "Bacterial small subunit ribosomal RNA", at positions 509 to 809 of the family's 1533-position model. The record is from RNAcentral.
CAGUAGCCACGGUAAUACGUAGGUGGCAAGCGUUGUCCGGAAUUAUUGGGCGUAAAGCGCGCGCAGGUGGUUUAAUAAGUCUGAUGCGAAAGCCCACGGCUCAACCGUGGAGGGUCAUUGGAAACUGUUAAACUUGAGUGCAGGAAAGAAAAGUGGAAUUCCUAGUGUAGCGGUGAAAUGCGUAGAGAUUAGGAGGAACACCAGUGGCGAAGGCGGCUUUUUGGCCUGUAACUGACACUGAGGCGCGAAAGCGUGGGGAGCAAACAGGAUUAGAUACCCCGGUAGUCCCUGUCUCUUAUAA